GGGGGUGUAGCUCAGCUGGGAGCACUUGCCUUGCACGCAAGGGGUCAGGAGUUCGAUCCUCCUCAUCUCCACCA
This 74-nucleotide transfer RNA is filed under the name Romboutsia lituseburensis. RNAcentral describes it as "Ala". It matches the Rfam family "tRNA". Rfam says of the family: Transfer RNA (tRNA) molecules are approximately 80 nucleotides in length. Their secondary structure includes four short double-helical elements and three loops (D, anti-codon, and T loops). The record is from RNAcentral. Lineage: Bacteria; Bacillati; Bacillota; Clostridia; Peptostreptococcales; Peptostreptococcaceae.